Molecule: ribosomal RNA, 455 nt
Filed under: uncultured Syntrophus sp.
Lineage: Bacteria; Pseudomonadati; Thermodesulfobacteriota; Syntrophia; Syntrophales; Syntrophaceae
Description: bacterial SSU rRNA
Rfam family: Bacterial small subunit ribosomal RNA
Source: RNAcentral
ACAAGCGGUGGAGCAUGUGGUUUAAUUCGAUGCAACGCGAAGACCUUACCUGGGCUUGACAUCCCGAGAAUCCCCUGGAACAGGGGAGUGCCUUUCGGGGAACUCGGAGACAGGUGCUGCAUGGCUGUCGUCAGCUCGUGUCGUGAGAUGUUGGGUUAAGUCCCGCAACGAGCGCAACCCUUGUCUUUAAUUGCCAGCAUUCAGUUGGGCACUUUAAAGAGACUGCCGGUGUUAAGCCGGAGGAAGGUGGGAUGACGUCAAGUCCUCAUGGCCUUUAUGCCCAGGGCUACACACGUGCUACAAUGGGUGGUACAAAGAGAUGCCAACUCGCGAGAGCGCGCCAAUCUCAGAAAGCCAUCCUCAGUUCGGAUUGGAGUCUGCAACUCGACUCCAUGAAGUUGGAAUCGCUAGUAAUCGCGGAUCAGCACGCCGCGGUGAAUACGUUCCCGGGCCUU